This 64-nucleotide transfer RNA is filed under the name Heterocephalus glaber (naked mole-rat). It matches the Rfam family "tRNA". Rfam says of the family: Transfer RNA (tRNA) molecules are approximately 80 nucleotides in length. The record is from Rfam by way of RNAcentral. Lineage: Eukaryota; Metazoa; Chordata; Mammalia; Rodentia; Bathyergidae.
GGGGAUUUAGCUUAGUGGUUCUAGCACCUGCCUCAAAAGCACAAGGUCCCAAGCUCAAUCCCCA